Molecule: long non-coding RNA, 364 nt
Filed under: Brassica napus (rape)
Lineage: Eukaryota; Viridiplantae; Streptophyta; Magnoliopsida; Brassicales; Brassicaceae
Description: long non-coding RNA (BNAP_LNC013044)
Source: RNAcentral
UUUUAAAAUCAUUCAACCAAUUACAAAAAUAACUACAACAUCUGAUUGGUUACACAGUUUUCAAUAAAGUUAAAAAUAACAUAAAAUAUCAAAACAUCAACUAUUUUGAAACAACAAAAAUCUUCUAAAACAUCAUCUAUUAUGAAACGGAAAAAAUAUAACUUUUAAUCAGAGAUUUUUAAAAUUACGGGAAACAGAACCGAAAGCAACUUCACAAAAAAAAAAAUAUAAUCCGUUCCGAUCAUAUACUGUAACCCAUUUAUGGUUCGUAAAUUCAGCCUUGUAAACUUUAGAAUAUCGUAAGUUUGAAAAGAAAAAAUCCUACUAUAUAAAAGGGACUAAAUUCAAGGCUUUUGGGACUAUC